UUUGCUGGGCCGGGAGGGGCCGGGAGUGGAAACCGCUGGCCUGGAAUGUGCUUUCCCGAAUGCUGGCAGCGUAGCUUUGUUUUCCUUCCCGACUUAACUGGAAUGGCUGUUACUGGCUGAAUGUCUUUUGGGAAAUAAUCCUGGCCGUGAUGUGGCAAAUUGGCAUGGGAGAAACUUACAAGUUGGAAGAAAGGUUUGGUAGAGAUAAUGAGCAGGCUCCGGAGAGUACAGAUUUGAAAGAUGUGUGUAAGGUUGAAUCGGAGUCCAGCACCAAUUUUUAGUGACCAGUGAAGGAAAUCGAAGACCAUUGUUGUCUCAAGUGAAAGCCUGGAUGACUUGAAGAUACUGGAGCACCUAAGCUUCUAGCAGAAUGUGGAGUCUUUCCUCUUCCGCUGUCUGGUUGAAGUUUAGGAAGUGGCCCAGCACCACGCCAGUGCCACCCCCUUCCACCUGAAGUAAGAAAAUGCAUGUCCAACCGCGUCACUUCCCUGGGAUACCUCUCCAGGCUCCCCACCUCCCGCAAGGACACAGUUUAUUCUCCAGAAGAAUCCGGUCUGUUUAGUGCAUGCCGUUAUUAGCAGAUGAUACCCUGCACUUAAAUAGCCCCUUUCAUCACGGCUCUCAAAGAAUUUUGGAGGAAUUCGGCACAUGUCUGCUCUCAGCCUGGCUCUGCGGUGCUCUUCUCCUAGCACCUGGUCAGACUAGGGAUGCAACCCUGUCCCAGCGUAAAGCCACUCAGCCCUGUUUCCAUGCUGUGGCGUCAAUGUGAUAGAUAUGCUCAAAUCCUAAUCUCUGGCUCCCGUGAAUGUGACCUCAUCUUCCUGAUCCAACAUGACUGACUCGUGAUGCAAACAGAGGGGACAGCCCCAGGACCACAAGGAGCGAUCACAGCCACGCAUCCACCGGGAAGAUUGAGGGCCCUGUCCAACGUCGGGGCUGGAACACUUUUUGAUGGACUGAUCUCUGAGUUCACACGUGUCUCCCCACUUUUUAUAUUAAACUCAGGCUUUGCACUUUGAUUUUUCCUUACAAGGGUAACUUCCAUGUCACCUUUGGAUCCACACAUCCCCCUGUCCUCGGUGUGCUGAGGACACUUGCUGCCUCUCCCACUUGGGAAUCCCCAGGUUGACAGAGCGCCAGUGGCCUCCCACAUGUCAGCACGGCUAAGUGUCGAUGGUGUUUGCUUUUCUGGCCCUAGUUUUGUUAAGCUGGCUGUAACUCGUCUGAGUCAGACUUCACACUGACUGAGGCAAUAAAUACAGCUUGCUACAACCGCGUGUGCUCUGCAGUACAAAAUAACUCGGGCCCGGGGCUCACCAGGAAGGGAACUGCUGAAAUUACUCUGAGCAGCUAUCAUAUUUCCCCAUAUGAACAUGUCAUCAUGAGUCGAUCCCUGUGGCGAUUGAAGGGCUCUGGAGACCUCCUACUCCAUGACUUCCGCCCCAUUGAUGAGUGUCUGACAUGCCAGGUGCAUGUGUGUAUGCCCAAAAUCCCAAAAGGAGGAAUAGAGGAGAAA
Long non-coding RNA from Tupaia belangeri chinensis (Chinese tree shrew), 1516 nucleotides. RefSeq lists it as uncharacterized. The transcript is spliced from 7 exons. The record is from RefSeq and is a predicted model, not a curated record. NCBI's taxonomy places the organism in Eukaryota, Metazoa, Chordata, Mammalia, Scandentia, Tupaiidae.